GAAGGAAGGCCCUUCGCAGCCGGCGAUCAGGAGUUGGCUGCAAACCACCGCGUGCUGCUGUUGUUAAGAGCGAUGGUGGUGAGCGACGCGGAAAAGGCGGGACGAGAUUCCGUCAGGU
This 118-nucleotide non-coding RNA is filed under the name Rhizobium aethiopicum. The record is from RNAcentral. Lineage: Bacteria; Pseudomonadati; Pseudomonadota; Alphaproteobacteria; Hyphomicrobiales; Rhizobiaceae.